CAACAGUUGUAUUCAGAAUAUCACUAACCAUCCUAGAUAAAGUCUGAAGACCAGCAGGGAGUUUAUUGCCAGAUCCAAGCUCCAGAGCUUGGAGCUUAGGCCAAGAUGCAGCUAGCUGGGGAUAGAUAAGUGCAGAAAUUGGUGGGGCUUUCUGGUCUCUUCAGAGACAAAUGGGAUUAUGAUUAGUGAUCACGGAUAUGGCUAAGGAUGACCAGCUCUAAUCUCCUAACUGCAUGUAUAAUCACCAACCCAGAAGGCAAAUAAAACAUGGAGGCAGAGCUUCCUGUCUAUUAACUGGAAUUCCGACGUGGAUAUCUGUUUGAGAUGGUAUACAUUUCAAGCAGCAGAUGUGUAACUUCUGUGAAUAUAAGCUAGAAACCCCAGAGGAGAACAUGAAGGCACCAGAUGGUUAAAGGGACUGCAAGCAACCCCACAGCUCUGACCAAGGACGAACAGGAAGGGCAGCAGGCUACAACGAAAUGUGUCCCGAACGGUUAAAAUCUGUGCAGUUCUCAGUUCCAUGGCUUGAAUCCUGCCUGUGUGCUUCU
Non-coding RNA from Odocoileus virginianus texanus, 548 nucleotides. The record is from RefSeq and is a predicted model, not a curated record. NCBI's taxonomy places the organism in Eukaryota, Metazoa, Chordata, Mammalia, Artiodactyla, Cervidae.